CUACGGGGCGCAGCAGUGGGGAAUAUUGCACAAUGGGCGCAAGCCUGAUGCAGCCAUGCCGCGUGUAUGAAGAAGGCCUUCGGGUUGUAAAGUACUUUCAGCGGGGAGGAAGGGAGUAAAGUUAAUACCUUUGCUCAUUGACGUUACCCGCAGAAGAAGCACCGGCUAACUCCGUGCCAGCAGCCGCGGUAAUACGGAGGGUGCAAGCGUUAAUCGGAAUUACUGGGCGUAAAGCGCACGCAGGCGGUUUGUUAAGUCAGAUGUGAAAUCCCCGGGCUCAACCUGGGAACUGCAUCUGAUACUGGCAAGCUUGAGUCUCGUAGAGGGGGGUAGAAUUCCAGGUGUAGCGGUGAAAUGCGUAGAGAUCUGGAGGAAUACCGGUGGCGAAGGCGGCCCCCUGGACGAAGACUGACGCUCAGGUGCGAAAGCGUGGGGAGCAAACAGGAUUAGAUACCCGCGAGUC
Molecule: ribosomal RNA, 463 nt
Filed under: uncultured bacterium
Lineage: Bacteria
Description: partial 16S ribosomal RNA
Rfam family: Bacterial small subunit ribosomal RNA
Source: RNAcentral